UACGUAGGUGGCGAGCGUUGUCCGGAUUUAUUGGGCGUAAAGCGCGCGCAGGUGGUGCGGUAAGUCCUGUGUGAAAUCUCCCGGCUCAACUGGGAGGGUGCGGAGGAGACUGCCGGACUGGAGGCACUCAGAGGCCGGUGGAAUUCCCGGUGUAGUGGUGAAAUGCGUAGAGAUCGGGAGGAACACCAGUGGCGAAGGCGGCCGGCUGGGGGUGACCUGACGCUGAGGCGCGAGAGCGUGGGGAGCGAACCGG
This 253-nucleotide ribosomal RNA is filed under the name uncultured bacterium. Its description in RNAcentral is "partial 16S ribosomal RNA". It matches the Rfam family "Bacterial small subunit ribosomal RNA", at positions 524 to 776 of the family's 1533-position model. The record is from RNAcentral.